Molecule: long non-coding RNA, 732 nt
Filed under: Coturnix japonica (Japanese quail)
Lineage: Eukaryota; Metazoa; Chordata; Aves; Galliformes; Phasianidae
Description: lncRNA (ENSCJPG00005016193.1)
Source: RNAcentral
UUUUCUCUACUGAUUAAGAGGUUGUUAAAACCUAUUUUAUUUAGUACAGGUGCUGCUAUGAGCUGAGGAAUGGCCAACUGCUUCUCAUGACUGUGAAAGAGCUACAUUGUACCAAUUCUGUGGUAUGACUCCAAAGCAUGGUUGAAUUGAAUUACCUGAACUUGUGUAAAUCCUAUAGUCAUUAGGCAUGGAAGCCUUCCUUCCAUUCCCUUACAACCAGGUGUGUUGUGCAGUGUUGUAGCUGAAGAUAAUCAGCUCUAAGAUGACAGAGGAAAGCAACAACUUUCAAGCUGAAAAAUGAAGUUAUCUCCUGUAAUGACUUGGGUUCAGGGAGUACUGAGCUUCCACUUCAAGCAGCCAGCUCUGGAAACAACUGGGAGACCAUUUCUUCAGAGAAAGAAGCACUCUUUUUAUAAACUAUUUCCCAUAUUUUUCAAAAACUCAUUUUCUCUUGUUAGUUUGCAUGUGGGAGGACAUCGCAAAUAUUGAUUCCAGCUGGGCUACUUCUACACCAGAUUCUGAGAUGCAUUGCAAAACUCAGUAGAUUGCAGAUCUGCCUAGUAAGUUCUUAUUUCAGUCAGCAAACAUUUAGUACACAGGCAGCAGAAUUUGAACUUCUCUAUAUUGAUUUUCUGUUUGUGAGCCACAUUCCUGAAAGUACAUAUUUUACCCAUGGAAAAUGUUAAUGUUCUUAUCAAUAAAGAGGGCUGUUGGUCAUUAUCUUCUUAUUUC